CUUGAUGGACCCCAGCCACAGGGGCUGGUCUGCGUCCCGCUCCCGCCCAUACGUGGCAAGCAGCGCCUGCGCCUC
Non-coding RNA from Streptomyces autolyticus, 75 nucleotides. The record is from Rfam. NCBI's taxonomy places the organism in Bacteria, Bacillati, Actinomycetota, Actinomycetes, Kitasatosporales, Streptomycetaceae.